AAGAGUUUCAAAAAAUCCAAACACUUUUUAAAAAGAAUGAUAUUAUUAUCUGUUUUUCUUUCUGAAAUUCCCUUUUAAAUUCUGGCUAGUUUGCUUAGACAUUAGAUCAGUAUCCAAAAUUCAAUGGGCACGAUUAAUCCAGAAUUGGGGAGAUAAAGCGCCAUCUGCCAAGUGCCAACCCCCUCCUGGCCCACUACCUCCUACUAUAUGAUUGAUUUUGCGUCAUUCAUCAAACUCGGGACCACGGAAAAUGUAUCUAUGGCCUUUUCCCCCUGGUUGAUUAUCACCUCCCCAGCUCCACUGCGCAAUUGCUCUGUAAUUUUGAGUCAUUCAUAAAACUUGAUUGGGUAAGUUUACUAUUACACAAAUCUUGUGUCUUUUCUACAUUAGUAUCACUUAAGCUCAUACAACUCUUCUCCACCUAACAGUAUUAAUUGUUACAAGGACCUCAUCUUUCUUUGCGCUCUUAUAUAAAGUCAAUUGAAUAUUUGAGUAGUGUGUAGUGAAUAAAUAUGGAAACUAGAAUACUGUUGUCGCUUUAUUCUCCAUAUCUAGUCUUGUUUUCAUGGGCACUUUCUGUUCAUCUCUUUUUAGCUAUAGCACAAAGAUCCACUUAUAUUGUCCAUUUGGACAAAUCUUUAAUGCCUAAUGUCUUUACUGAUCACCAUCAUUGGCAUUCUUCUACUAUUGAUUCCAUCAAAGCUUCUGUUCCUUCAUCAGUCGACAGAUUCCACUCUGCUCCAAAACUUGUUUACUCUUAUGACCAUGUGUUUCAUGGCUUCAGUGCUGUUUUGUCCAAAGAUGAACUGAAAGCUUUGAAGAAGUCACCAGGUUUCAUUUCAGCAUACAAAGAUAGAACUGUGGAACCUGACACUACUUACACAUCUGAUUACCUCAAGCUCAAUCCUUCAUCUGGUCUAUGGCCAGCUUCUGGUUUAGGCCAAGAUGUGAUCAUUGGUGUUCUUGAUGGUGGCAUCUGGCCCGAAUCUGCAAGUUUUCGAGAUGAUGGUAUUCCUGAAAUCCCCAAAAGAUGGAAAGGAAUUUGCAAUCCAGGCACCCAGUUUAACACUUCCAUGUGCAACAGAAAACUCAUUGGGGCUAAUUACUUCAACAAGGGACUUUUGGCUGAUGAUCCCACUCUGAACAUUUCCAUGAAUUCUGCUAGGGAUACUAAUGGUCACGGCACACAUUGCGCUUCCAUUGCUGCUGGGAACUUUGCGAAAGGUGUUUCCCAUUUUGGAUAUGCACAAGGAACAGCAAGAGGGGUUGCUCCGCGAGCUAGGAUAGCUGUAUACAAGUUUAACUUUCGUGAAGGAAGCUUAACAUCGGAUCUAAUUGCUGCUAUGGACUAAGCUGUUGCAGACGGUGUUGAUAUGAUAUCCAUAUCUUUUAGUAACCGUUUCAUUCCCUUAUAUGAAGAUGCUAUAUCUAUUGCUUCUUUUGGAGCUAUGAUGAAGGGAGUGCUGGUUUCAGCUUCAGCUGGAAAUCGAGGUCCAAGUUGGGGAACUUUAGGCAAUGGAUCUCCAUGGAUCUUGUGCGUGGCAGCAGGCUUCACCGACCGGACGUUUGCAGGAACAUUGACUUUGGGCAAUGGAUUAAAAAUUAGGGGGUGGAGCUUGUUUCCUGCAAGAGCCUUUGUCAGGGAUUUUCCGGUGAUUUACAAUAAGACUCUAUCUGAUUGCAAGUCAGAUGACUUGUUAUCACAAGUUCCUGAUCCCCAAAACACCAUCAUCAUUUGUGACUAUAAUAAACUUGAAGACGGUUUUGGUAGUCAAUUUUUUUCUGUCAAUCAAGCAAGAUUUAAAGCAGGUAUCUUUAUUUCUGAGGAUCCAGCAGUGUUCAGGUAUGCUUCUUUUACCCACCCAGGAGUAGUGAUUGACAAAAAGGAAGGGAAACAAGUCAUCAAUUACGUUAAAAACAGUGUUGCUCCCACUGCCACCAUAACAUUCCAAGAAACAUAUUUGGAUGGAGAAAGGCCAAGCCCAUUUCUUCUUGGAUACUCAUCACGAGGGCCCUCCAGAAGCUACGCAGGAAUUGCAAAGCCAGAUAUUAUGGCUCCAGGGGCACUUAUUCUUGCAGCAGUUCCACCUAAUAUCCCUUCGGUUUCUAUUGAGAACCUACAAUUAACCACUGAUUACGAGCUUAAAUCAGGCACAUCCAUGGCUGCACCACAUGCAGCUGGAAUUGCAGCAAUGCUAAAAGGCGCACAUCCUGAUUGGAGUCCUUCAGCUAUUCGCUCUGCCAUGAUGACUACUGCAAACCAUUUGAAUAGUGCUCAAAAGCCUAUUAGAGAGGACGAUAACUUUGUAGCCUCGCCUCUAGGCAUCGGAUCAGGGCACGUUGAUCCAAACAGAGCACUUGAUCCUGGUCUUGUAUAUGAUGCCACUCCACAGGAUUACAUAAAUCUUAUAUGCUCUUUGAAUUUCACAGAGGAGCAGUUCAAAACAUUUGCAAGAUCAUCAGCCAAUUACCACAAUUGCUCAAAUGCAUCAGCUGAUCUCAAUUACCCAUCCUUCAUUGUCUUUUAUUCAUUCAGCCAGGAGGGUAACUACCCCUGGUUGGAGCAGAAAUUCAAGAGGACCCUUACAAAUGUUGGUAAAUCUGGAGCAACUUACAGAGUAAAAAUAGAGAAUCCUAGGAACUCUACAAUUUCAGUGUCACCACAAACAUUGGUAUUCAUGAACAAAAAUGAGAAGCAAAGCUAUACUUUGACAAUUCGCUAUAGAGGUGACGAGAAAGGAGGUCAAGAUGGGUCUAUCACUUGGGUUGAAAAGAGUGGAAACCAUUCAGUAAGAAGUCCAAUGGUGAUAACUUCCACAGUUGAUGUUUGGGCUUCAGAAGAUUAGGAUUUAGGACCAUCAGAUUAUGUAUGCUGAAUGAAAAAGUUGUCUUAUUCGAUAACCUACUUUAAGUCAUUUUAUCCCUAAGAACUCAUUGAUCAAUAGUAAAAUAAAUCAUUUUCUAGAGUUUGUAUAUUAUGAUCCUUACGUGGAUAGGAUAAUUCUCAUUUGUCAAGCAAAAGCCUAAAACAGUCUAAAGACUUCUCAAAAGAUAUUUUGGGGGAAGGACUAAAUAUUCAAGAUGUGG
This is an RNA transcript of Solanum stenotomum, 3087 nucleotides long. It is a transcript of the gene named subtilisin-like protease SBT3, with no coding region annotated. The transcript has a single exon. The record is from RefSeq and is a predicted model, not a curated record. Lineage: Eukaryota; Viridiplantae; Streptophyta; Magnoliopsida; Solanales; Solanaceae.